UACGGGGGGGGCAAGCGUUGUUCGGAAUUACUGGGCGUAAAGGGCUCGUAGGUGGCCAACUAAGUCAGACGUGAAAUCCCCAGGCUUAACCUGGGAACUGCGUCUGAUACUGGAUGGCUUGAAUUCGGGAGAGGGAUGCAGAAUUCCAGGUGUAGCGGUGAAAUGCGUAGAUAUCUGGAGGAAUACCGGUGGCGAAGGCGGCUUCCUGGCCCGUAGCUGACGCUGAGGCGCGAAAGCGUGGGGAGCAAACAGG
This 253-nucleotide ribosomal RNA is filed under the name uncultured bacterium. Its description in RNAcentral is "partial 16S ribosomal RNA". It matches the Rfam family "Bacterial small subunit ribosomal RNA", at positions 524 to 776 of the family's 1533-position model. The record is from RNAcentral.